UAUUUUCUUAGUCUAGAUUAAUUUCAGAAAUGCAACGAUUUGGGGGUGUUUUCCUUCCAACCAUACAUAUGGAGAACAAGUAAGGUAAAGGAUUUUUUAACUAGCCAGGGAUCAUUGUCCUGUAUUACUGAAAUUGCGUCUAGAAUAGUAUGGAUACUUGAUGACAAAGAAAAGAAUACUCAAGACCCAGAAAUUGUAUUGCCAACAACUUUAAUGUCACAAAGUCAUGCUUGGGAAGUUUGUCUACUUGCAAUUACCAAACAGCUCUAGAUUUGUAUAUUCUAGUCUUUCAUUCUAUAUGUCAAUGUACAAAGAAUAUAGCAACAUAGCAAGUAGCA
This is a long non-coding RNA of Perognathus longimembris pacificus (Pacific pocket mouse), 338 nucleotides long. RefSeq lists it as uncharacterized. The transcript is spliced from 3 exons. Lineage: Eukaryota; Metazoa; Chordata; Mammalia; Rodentia; Heteromyidae. The record is from RefSeq and is a predicted model, not a curated record.